This 270-nucleotide ribosomal RNA is filed under the name uncultured archaeon. RNAcentral's name for it is "partial 16S ribosomal RNA". It matches the Rfam family "Archaeal small subunit ribosomal RNA", at positions 477 to 747 of the family's 1478-position model. The record is from RNAcentral.
CAGCUCUCCGAGUGGUAGGGAUGAUUAUUGGGCUUAAAGCGUCCGUAGCCUGCUUAGCAAGUCUCCUGUUAAAUUCAGCGACCUAAUCGUUGAGCCGCGGGAGAUACUACUAGGCUAGGAGGCGGGAGAGGUCGACGGUACUUCUGGGGUAGGGGUGAAAUCCUAUAAUCCCAGGAGGACCACCAGUGGCGAAGGCUGUCGACUAGAACGCGCUCGACGGUGAGGGACGAAAGCUGGGGGAGCGAACCGGAUUAGAUACCCGCGUAGUCC